Non-coding RNA from Podarcis muralis (Common wall lizard), 317 nucleotides. Lineage: Eukaryota; Metazoa; Chordata; Lepidosauria; Squamata; Lacertidae. The record is from RefSeq and is a predicted model, not a curated record.
GCAAGCCUUGCAGAAUGUAGGAUGCAGUCAGUUGGUGAAGAAGAGAGGCUGGGAUGAUGAGGGGAGAGGACAAUGAGAUCUGCUCAGCCCAUCAGAAGUAAAAGGGUUAAAAAAAACCCUGAAAGAUUGCAUGAAAGAUACCCUAUCAUUUUUCUGGCAUGGCACCAGUACUACUAAUCUCCCAAUUUAAUCGUAUUGCCUUAAAUGGGCAUUUUUCUGGAGAGGACACAGGAAGGUUGUUUGGUCUCCUGUCAACACAGAACAUCUGUUUUGAAUUGUAGCCCCUGGCAGCAAGGAGGAGUGGAGCUGAGAGGCAG